This is a long non-coding RNA of Equus caballus (horse), 374 nucleotides long. RefSeq lists it as uncharacterized. The record is from RefSeq and is a predicted model, not a curated record. NCBI's taxonomy places the organism in Eukaryota, Metazoa, Chordata, Mammalia, Perissodactyla, Equidae.
CGGUUUCUCUUGCGCUUGCGCAGCCUGGAAGCUCCCGGAAGAAGGAUGGGCGUGACAAUGGGGGGUGUAACCGUGACAGCAAAGGCAAGUUCGGCGACUUGGAUGGGAUAACAUUUCACUGACUGGACUCUGCUCGCUCCUGGCCUACUUCAGCUGAGAGAUCCUGGACCCCUGACAAGAGCCGGCAGGAGAGAGAUUCACAGAAGGGACUCUGACAUUUACUCUGGAAUGCAGCUUUCUGAUAAAGUUUCAGAUCAUAAAACGGAAUUGGGUAAGAAACUACAGAACUCUAAUGGAGAAACUGAUGACUUCAUGAAACUGCUAAGAAAAGAGCAAGAUCAAAAGUUGAUUAUAUGGGGGCUGGCCCCAUGGCU